GGUAACCUUAGGCACUACAUCUUCCAUGAUGCUUUGCCAGCAUUUUGGGUGUAAGAGCAUAAUGGGGGAUGUAGUCCACAACAUCUGGAGUGGCAAAGGUUGCCUAUCCCUGCGCUAGACUUUUAGGGUCCCUACAUAUAAAGAGUAUCGAGGACAGGACUAACAAACCAGGCAAUGGAUUUCAUUAUGCACAAAUGAUGCAACUUAAAGUAUUUUAAUAUAAAAAUACACUGGCGUGAUGUAACAAUUUAAUUAAUCCGAUUUCACGGAAGAGUCUUCCAAAUUAACAAAACCCAUAAUAAAAAUCUACAACUAACAUACACAGGAAAUUGGUCAUAUGGUCAAAUGUAAAAAUUAAAAUGAACGCAUUAAAUGAAUUCUAAAUCUGCACCUUAUUCAGCAUUUGAUGACCUUGGUCCACAGAUUUAAGUGCUAAUAAUGUUGAUGCAAUGGGAGCCUUGUUUAAACACGUAAGGAGGAAAAAGAAGAAAAAAGAAGAAAUAUUGCGUUUAUCAACAUGCGGUUUCUGAGAUCUCACCUUCGGUCUUCCAGGGGCAUUGUACAAACGAUGGACUUUAUAUAGAGUAAAGACAGAGAAAGCCAUUUGCUAAUAUAACGGCUGUUCUCCGUUGAAAUGUAUUUUUAUGUGUUUCUUGAUAAAAUUAAAAAUAAGAAGAAAAUAUGCUAUUUCAGUUGGUGUGAUUGGAGUUUCGUGCCCUGGAAAUAUGUUUAGGAAUAAUUUGCAUAUUUGAUGCAAAGUGCAAUAAUUGUUUGAGCAGAAAGGGGG
Non-coding RNA from Pelobates cultripes (western spadefoot toad), 787 nucleotides. The record is from the annotation of a GenBank genome assembly. Lineage: Eukaryota; Metazoa; Chordata; Amphibia; Anura; Pelobatidae.